RNAcentral lists this ribosomal RNA (497 nucleotides) under uncultured bacterium. Its description in RNAcentral is "partial 16S ribosomal RNA". It matches the Rfam family "Bacterial small subunit ribosomal RNA", at positions 28 to 507 of the family's 1533-position model. The record is from RNAcentral.
GAUGAACGCUGGCGGCGUGCCUAAUACAUGCAAGUCGAGCGAACAGACGAGGAGCUUGCUCCUCUGACGUUAGCGGCGGACGGGUGAGUAACACGUGGAUAACCUACCUAUAAGACUGGGAUAACUUCGGGAAACCGGAGCUAAUACCGGAUAAUAUAUUGAACCGCAUGGUUCAAUAGUGAAAGACGGUUUUGCUGUCACUUAUAGAUGGAUCCGCGCCGCAUUAGCUAGUUGGUAAGGUAACGGCUUACCAAGGCGACGAUGCGUAGCCGACCUGAGAGGGUGAUCGGCCACACUGGAACUGAGACACGGUCCAGACUCCUUCGGGAGGCAGCAGUAGGGAAUCUUCCGCAAUGGGCGAAAGCUUGACGGAGCAACGCCGCGUGAGUGAUGAAGGUCUUCGGAUCGUAAAACUCUGUUAUUAGGGAAGAACAAAUGUGUAAGUAACUAUGCACGUCUUGACGGUACCUAAUCAGAAAGCCACGGCUAACUACGUG